RNAcentral lists this ribosomal RNA (274 nucleotides) under uncultured bacterium. RNAcentral describes it as "partial 16S ribosomal RNA". It matches the Rfam family "Bacterial small subunit ribosomal RNA", at positions 523 to 796 of the family's 1533-position model. The record is from RNAcentral.
AUACGAACUGUGCAAACGUUAUUCGGAAUCACUGGGCUUAAAGGGUGCGUAGGCGGGUUUGAAGGUCUGAUGUGAAAGCCCACGGCUCAACCGUGGAAUUGCGUUGGAAACCACAAGCCUUGAGGGAGUCAGAGGUGAGCGGAACUAAUGGUGGAGCGGUGAAAUGCGUUGAUAUCAUUAGGAACACCGGUGGCGAAAGCGGCUCACUGGGACUCUUCUGACGCUGAGGCACGAAAGCUAGGGGAGCGAACGGGAUUAGAAACCCUAGUAGUCC